Molecule: ribosomal RNA, 501 nt
Filed under: Gnaptorina ampliptera
Lineage: Eukaryota; Metazoa; Arthropoda; Insecta; Coleoptera; Tenebrionidae
Description: Gnaptorina sp. 1 XML-2019 partial 16S ribosomal RNA
Rfam family: Archaeal large subunit ribosomal RNA
Source: RNAcentral
AAAAACAUGUCUUUUUGUUUAUGAUUUAAGGUUUGACCUGCCCAAUGAUUAUUAUUAAAUGGCUGCAGUAUUUUGACUGUACAAAGGUAGCAUAAUCAUUAGUUUCUUAAUUAGAAGCUGGUAUGAAUGGUUUGAUGAGAAAUUUACUGUCUCAAUUUAAUUGGUUUAGAAUUUUAUUUUUAAGUGAAAAAGCUUAAAUUUUUUAAUAAGACGAGAAGACCCUAUAGAGUUUUACAUAAUAAUAAUUUUUUAUUGAUGAUUUUAAUAUUUUUUAUUUUUUAUUGUGUUUUGUUGGGGUGAUGCGAAAAUUUUUUUAACUUUUCUUUAUUUUAACACUAAUUAGUGAGUUUAUGAUCCUUUUUGGAUUAUAAGAUUAAAUUACCUUAGGGAUAACAGCGUAAUUUUUUUUGAAAGCUCUUAUUGAUAAAAAAGUUUGCGACCUCGAUGUUGGAUUAAAGUUUAUUUUUGGUGUAGGAGCUAGAAAAUUAGGUCUGUUCGACC